RNAcentral lists this transfer RNA (85 nucleotides) under Patescibacteria group bacterium. Its description in RNAcentral is "tRNA-Ser". It matches the Rfam family "tRNA". From Rfam's summary of the family: Transfer RNA (tRNA) molecules are approximately 80 nucleotides in length. Their secondary structure includes four short double-helical elements and three loops (D, anti-codon, and T loops). The record is from RNAcentral.
GGAGGCGUCGCAUAGCGGUCUAGUGCACCGCCUUGGAAAGGCGGCAUGGGGCAACCCAUCGUGAGUUCGAAUCUCACCGCCUCCG